RNAcentral lists this ribosomal RNA (445 nucleotides) under uncultured bacterium. Its description in RNAcentral is "partial 16S ribosomal RNA". It matches the Rfam family "Bacterial small subunit ribosomal RNA", at positions 354 to 796 of the family's 1533-position model. The record is from RNAcentral.
GUGAGGAAUAUUGCGCAAUGGAGGCAACUCUGACGCAGCCAUGCCGCGUGCAGGAAGAAGGCGCUACGCGUUGUAAACUGCUUUUAACCGGGAAGAAACCCCAGGACGUGUCCUGGGUUGACGGUACCGGAGGAAUAAGCACCGGCUAACUUCGUGCCAGCAGCCGCGGUAAUACGAAGGGUGCAAGCGUUAUCCGGAUUCAUUGGGUUUAAAGGGUGCGUAGGCGGAGCGUUAAGUCAGUGGUGAAAUCCUGCAGCUUAACUGUAGACUUGCCAUUGAUACUGGCGCUCUUGAGUGCGCUUGAAGUGGGCGGAAUGUGCCGUGUAGCGGUGAAAUGCUUAGAUAUGGCACAGAACACCAAUUGCGAAGGCAGCUCACUAAGGCGACACUGACGCUGAGGCACGAAAGCGUGGGGAUCGAACAGGAUUAGAUACCCCUGUAGUCC